Molecule: ribosomal RNA, 468 nt
Filed under: uncultured bacterium
Lineage: Bacteria
Description: partial 16S ribosomal RNA
Rfam family: Bacterial small subunit ribosomal RNA
Source: RNAcentral
GACGAACGCUGGCGGCGUGCUUAACACAUGCAAGUCGAACGGAAAGGCCCUGCUUUUGUUGGGGGCUCGAGUGGCGAACGGGUGAGUAACACGUGAGUAACCUGCCCUUGACUUUGGGAUAACUUCAGGAAACUGGGGCUAAUACCGGAUAGGAGCUCCUGCUGCAUGGUGGGGGUUGGAAAGUGUCGGCGGUUGGGGAUGGACGCGCGGCGUAUCAGCUUGUUGGUGGGGUAGGGGCUGACCAAGGCUUUGACGGGUAGCCGGCCUGAGAGGGUGACCGGCCACAUUGGGACUGAGAUACGGCCCAGACUCCUACGGGAGGCAGCAGUGGGGAAUAUUGCACAAUGGGCGGAAGCCUGAUGCAGCAACGCCGCGUGCGGGAUGACGGCCUUCGGGUUGUAAACCGCUUUCGCCUGUGACGAAGCGUGAGUGACGGUAAUGGGUAAAGAAGCACCGGCUAACUACGUG